GACGAACGCUGGCGGCGUGCUUAACACAUGCAAGUCGAACGGAAAGGCCCUGCUUUUGUGGGGUGCUCGAGUGGCGAACGGGUGCGUAACACGUGAGUAACCUGCCCUUGACUUUGGGAUAACUUCAGGAAACUGGGCCUAAUACCGUAUAGGAGCUCCUGCUGCAGGGAGGGGGUUGGAAAGUUUCGGCGGUUGGGGAUGGACGCGCGGCUUAUCAGCUUGUUGGUGGGGGAGUGGCUUACCCAGGCUUUGGCGGGUAGCCGGCCUGGGAGGGUGACCGGCCACAUUGGGACUGCGGUACGGCCCAGUCUCCUACGGGGGGCAGCAGUGGGGAAUAUUGCCCAAUGGGCGGAAGCCUGAUGCAGCAACGCCGCGUGCGUGAUGCCGGCCUUCGGGUUGUAAACCGCUUUCGCCUGUGACGAAGCGUGAGUGACGGUAAUGGGUAAAGAAGCACCGGCUAACUACGUG
This 468-nucleotide ribosomal RNA is filed under the name uncultured bacterium. RNAcentral's name for it is "partial 16S ribosomal RNA". It matches the Rfam family "Bacterial small subunit ribosomal RNA", at positions 28 to 507 of the family's 1533-position model. The record is from RNAcentral.